ACAGGAUUAGAUACCCUGGUAGUCCACGCCGUAAACGAUGUCGACUUGGAGGCUGUUCCCUUGAGGAGUGGCUUCCGGAGCUAACGCGUUAAGUCGACCGCCUGGGGAGUACGGCCGCAAGGUUAAAACUCAAAUGAAUUGACGGGGGCCCGCACAAGCGGUGGAGCAUGUGGUUUAAUUCGAUGCAACGCGAAGAACCUUACCUACUCUUGACAUCCAGAGAACUUUCCAGAGAUGGAUUGGUGCCUUCGGGAACUCUGAGACAGGUGCUGCAUGGCUGUCGUCAGCUCGUGUUGUGAAAUGUUGGGUUAAGUCCCGCAACGAGCGCAACCCUUAUCCUUUGUUGCCAGCGAUUCGGUCGGGAACUCAAAGGAGACUGCCGGUGAUAAACCGGAGGAAGGUGGGGAUGACGUCAAGUCAUCAUGGCCCUUACGAGUAGGGCUACACACGUGCUACAAUGGCGCAUACAAAGAGAAGCGACCUCGCGAGAGCAAGCGGACCUCAUAAAGUGCGUCGUAGUCCGGAUCGGAGUCUGCAACUCGACUCCGUGAAGUCGGAAUCGCUAGUAAUCGUGGAUCAGAAUGCCACGGUGAAUACGUUCCCGGGCCUUGUACACACCGCCCGUCACACCAUGGGAGUGGGUUGCAAAAGAAGUAGGUAGCUUAACCUUCGGGAGGGCGCUUACCACUUUGUGAUUCAUGACUGGGGUGAAGUCGUAACAAGGUAU
Molecule: ribosomal RNA, 727 nt
Filed under: uncultured bacterium
Lineage: Bacteria
Description: bacterial SSU rRNA
Rfam family: Bacterial small subunit ribosomal RNA
Source: RNAcentral